CUACGGGGGGCAGCAGUGAGGAAUAUUGCACAAUGGGGGGAACCCUGAUGCAGCAACGCCGCGUGGAGGAUGACGCAUUUCGGUGUGUAAACUCCUUUUAUAUGUCAAAAAAAUGACGGUAGCAUAUGAAUAAGCACCGGCUAACUCCGUGCCAGCAGCCGCGGUAAUACGGAGGGUGCAAGCGUUACUCGGAAUCACUGGGCGUAAAGGACGCGUAGGCGGGUUGGAAAGUCAGGUGUGAAAUCCUACAGCUUAACUGUAGAACUGCACUUGAAACUUCUAAUCUAGAGUAUGGGAGGGGGAGAUGGAAUUAGUGGUGUAGGGGUAAAAUCCGUAGAUAUCACUAGGAAUACCUAAAGCGAAGGCGAUCUCCUGGAACAUUACUGACGCUAAGGCGUGAAGGCGUGGGGAGCAAACAGGAUUAGAUACCCCUGUAGUC
This 439-nucleotide ribosomal RNA is filed under the name uncultured bacterium. RNAcentral describes it as "partial 16S ribosomal RNA". It matches the Rfam family "Bacterial small subunit ribosomal RNA", at positions 339 to 795 of the family's 1533-position model. The record is from RNAcentral.